UUAAAAAGCUCGUAGUUGAAUUUCGGGAUCAAUAUGUCGGUCGUGCCUUCGGUACGUACUGGCAUCAUUGGUUUCUCCCUUCUGACAAACCAUGAUGUCAUUAAUUUGGUGUUAUGGGGAGUUAGGACUGUUACUUUGAAAAAAUUNGAGUGUUUAAAGCAGGCAUUAGCUUGAAUACAUUAGCAUGGAAUAAUGAAAUAGGACGUUUGACCCUAUUUUGUUGGUUUUUAGGAUCGACGUAAUGAUUAAUAGGGAUAGUUGGGGG
This 265-nucleotide ribosomal RNA is filed under the name uncultured Glomeromycotina. RNAcentral's name for it is "partial 18S ribosomal RNA". It matches the Rfam family "Eukaryotic small subunit ribosomal RNA", at positions 619 to 888 of the family's 1831-position model. Lineage: Eukaryota; Fungi; Glomeromycota. The record is from RNAcentral.